GCUCUAUCUACAAUGAUGGCUCAGGGCGAGCCAGCAUCGACGGCGCUAUUCGUGACAGCUCUGGCUGUGUUGUGCUUGCGUUUGCUGAGCGAGGAGUGACAACUAUGAAUUGAGCGCUAGUGGCAUGGAGGUACAUGGUGUUGGGGAGUGCGGCAGUGACAGAGGUGGCAACCACCCGCACCCACUACUCUAAAGGUACUUUUAUAGCAAGAAAUUGAAAGGUAAAACAUAGUUUAUAUAUAUAUAUAUAUACCUAUGUAAGAUAAAAAAUAGCUAUUCUUAUAAGAAGUUUACAAAUAAUGAAGUUCUAUAACUACAUUAUUAGUGUCACACACUAGCUAUAGGAAUAAAUAUAAAACUAAGAAAUAAAUACAUAGUGAUAAUUUGCAUCCUAAUUUUAGAUUUAUAAUUGGAAUCAAAACUCUACAAAGGGUUGAAACUAGAAACUUGGAAUAAAAAAAUUAGUAAAGAGCUAGAUUAACAAUUGUUUGGAACUUUGAGUUUUGAAUAGGUUAUGAGGUGAGUAGAGAGGAGAGAGCCAAUGUCAUCUAGGAUUUACUAAUGAGAGGAAGGGAG
Molecule: long non-coding RNA, 576 nt
Filed under: Sorghum bicolor (sorghum)
Lineage: Eukaryota; Viridiplantae; Streptophyta; Magnoliopsida; Poales; Poaceae
Description: long non-coding RNA (SBIC_LNC006193)
Source: RNAcentral